Molecule: ribosomal RNA, 500 nt
Filed under: uncultured Glomeromycotina
Lineage: Eukaryota; Fungi; Glomeromycota
Description: partial small subunit ribosomal RNA
Rfam family: Eukaryotic small subunit ribosomal RNA
Source: RNAcentral
CCAAUAGCGUAUAUUAAAGUUGUUGCAGUUAAAAAGCUCGUAGUUGAAUUUCGGAAUCAGUACGUUGGUCGUGCCUUCGGUAUGCACUGGCGUCACUGGUUUCUCCUUUCUGAAGAACCGUGAUGUCAUUAAUUUGGUGUUGCGGGGAAUCAGGACUGUUACUUUGAAAAAAUUAGAGUGUUUAAAGCAGGCUCACGCUUGAAUACAUUAGCAUGGAAUAAUGAAAUAGGACGUUUGAUUCUAUUUUGUUGGUUUCUAGGAUCGACGUAAUGAUUAAUAGGGGUAGUUGGGGGCAUUAGUAUUCAAUUGUCAGAGGUGAAAUUCUUGGAUUUAUUGAAGACUAACUACUGCGAAAGCAUUUGCCAAGGAUGUUUUCAUUAAUCAAGAACGAAAGUUAGGGGAUCGAAGACGAUCAGAUACCGUCGUAGUCUUAACCAUAAACUAUGCCGACUAGGGAUCGGAUGAUGUUAAUUUUAUAAUGACUCAUUCGGCGCCUUACG